This is a long non-coding RNA of Vespa mandarinia (Asian giant hornet), 1145 nucleotides long. Lineage: Eukaryota; Metazoa; Arthropoda; Insecta; Hymenoptera; Vespidae. The record is from RefSeq and is a predicted model, not a curated record.
UACAAUUUAAGCUUUUAGUACAGCAACCGAGCGAGUAUUUUUGAAUAGUGGGAACAGACAGCACGUAAACACGUAAAAAGAAAACGAAUGUUGGCAAAUUGUCAAAAAAUCAAAGAUAAAUACACAAACAGUGUACGGUGAUCUGAAUGAUUGAUUUGUGAAUCUUUGGCCGGAAUGAGACGUGAAGGUGUACGAUCGACGAUUUUACGUAAAUAAUUGAUCUACCACGACGAUAAUCAGGUACUUUGUCGGGCACUGAAGAAAUUAUAUUUGAUCGGAAACUAUUACCAAGUUGCAAAAGGAUCUACGUCUACGUCGUAAUAACAGCUUUCGUCAUACGUGUGUUAAGAAAUGGCAAAACCAAAGGUCGAGUACGAAAACUUUUUUAUUAGUAGCUGUUCUAUAUAAUACAUCCAGAGGGAAGAAUCUCGAAGAUAACGAACGGUCGAUGGGUCGACGUACGAAGGAGACAUCGGAGAUCGUGCGGAAGAAGGAAGAUAAAAAUAAAUUCUCGACUUCCUCGCGGAUACGUGGGUGCGCGAACGCGUUCCAUUCUGGAUGCUGCACUUCGUUUAUGCGCAUGAAUACACGUGAAAAUCGUAUUGAUGUCAGGAAUUCGCGAGGGUAAUUUAACUGGAAAAGAAAUUUUAUAAUAAAGAAACUAAAAAGAAAAAUAUCGCAGCUCCAAUUCUUCGCAGAAAAUAAUUCGAAGCGAAUUUUUCGUCCGUACAAUUUUAACUUAAAUAUUUGUCCUUCAUUUUUUUUUCUAUUAUUCCUUUUUGUAUAUCCAAUGAAUCAUUUGCGUGAUAUUUAGAAGCUAUCUCGGUUAAAAAAAAAAAAAGGAAAAAAGAAGAAAAAAGAAAGGAAAAAAAGAAAAAAGAAGAAAAAAGAAAAAUGGGAAAGAAAAAAAACGGAAGAGGUUAUCGUUUGCGAGAUUCGAUAGCAUCCUCCGUCUUAUCCUCAGUAACCCCUCAUCAUCUCAUCUCUUUUUUUUUCUAUUUCAUUAUAUACCUCUCAUGAAAAUAUUAGAUUAAUUCACAAAUAAAUACCUUUUUUAUCAUCUUAACAAUAAACUUUUUGCUUGUAUUAAAGCAUUAAUUUAUCAUACAGAAAUUUACGAUAAUUAUUAAUCCGAAUUCUUAUCG